AGGGGACCCGGGCAAUAAGGCCGGGCAGCCCGGCCCAGCUCCCCUGUGCUUCCUCACCCCGUGCACGGGAAACCUCUGGAAGGGAGGAGGCUGGAGGCAGAGGAGCCAAGGGGCGGCUCUGCCGGGCAGGGCGCCACCCUGAGGAGAUUCUCCAAGGGCCACCUGCCAGGACAGCUGCCCAGGUGGGUUCGCCGGGUACGUGGGAUUCCCACUUUGUGGCAGUCACUGACCUUCAGUCACCCGGGAGGAAGCCUCAAGGCCACAGGGGCCUCAUAAUCUCCCCACCGAGUUCCUGGAGUCGGCCCUUGGAGGUCAUUUGGGUCAAGGGCAGCAGCCAGGCGUCCGAGUCCAUCUGCCGUCCCUCCCGUCUUCUGGGUCCCCGGAGCCGCAGCCGCGCGUCUAGAGAGCCCAGCAGUGGAGACAAGAAUGAGCCUGACUCCUGCGGCUGGCUGGCGGGGUUCCAUCCUCAGCCCUUCCCAGCCUCCUCCCCAGCCCCCGCCCCCGCCGCCGCCCCCCAAGCUCUGAGCCCCACUAGAGCCGGGCUGGUGGGUGGAGCCUGGAGCUCUAGAGACCAGCGCAAUUCCGGUUCCACUCAGGGCUUCAUUGAAAAGGAGGCCCUUCUCGGAAAUCACCCUCUUCUCUCCUGGCAAGUGGUUCUUGCUGCCUCUCUGCCCUGCGGCUCCCCACCCACCGCCCUUGCUUCCUACACAGCGCCUGUUUCAUCUCUGGACUUCUAGGGGACCACCUCUUGGCCCAUGGCUGUAGCACUUCUGAAGGAUCAUGAGCAGGCAUACCUUUCUCCAGCUGCCUGGGAGAAUGUCCUCCAUCUGGAGCAGCACAAUCAGAAAGGCAUCUCUUCCUCCAGGCUCAUGCCAAGGGUAUGACUCGACCCUCCUGCCUCUGGCUGCAUGCUCUUCCCAGAAAAAGCUCUUGCCCCCAGGCUUCCCUUGAAAACUGCUUCUGCCAGUCUCUCCAAUACAUAUGGAGAAGGAGAGGGGAAGUAAUCUGUUCCAUUUGCAUCUUGUUUUUAUUUUGCAAAUAAAAAUGAAAAUUGGUUUCGCGGGAGAAGGCAGCUGCCUUAGGAAAAAAAUGGUAUCUGGCUUAGGAUCUCACAGACCAGUAUGUAGGUUUCACCAGGGACUUCUAGAUGUGCCUCAAAGGGAUCUGCUUCCUUUCUCUCCAG
RNAcentral lists this long non-coding RNA (1183 nucleotides) under Equus caballus (horse). RNAcentral's name for it is "lncRNA (ENSECAG00000059112.1)". Lineage: Eukaryota; Metazoa; Chordata; Mammalia; Perissodactyla; Equidae. The record is from RNAcentral.